AACACGUAGUCAACACUCGGGGAUCCAAGUGCGUCCUCCUUGGGGGACGCCCUUUCUCCCCAAAGUCGGGGCGGCUCGGCGCUCGUUGCCCGCAGGCGGUGCGACCGUCGCGAGCUCACGAUCUCCGGGCCUUCCCGGCGCAACAAAAACCCGGCGCGGAAUGCGCCAAGGAACAUGAAAGAGAGUGCGGUCUUCCGGCGUCAGCUCGCGCUGCGCUCGGACGGGCGUCGUCUUCUUGAUGAGUUUAUAAUGACUCUCGGCAACGGAUAUCUCGGCUCUUACAUCGAUGAAGAACGUAGCAAAAUGCGAUACUUGGUGUGAAUUGCAGAAUCCCGUGAACCAUCGAGUCUUUGAACGCAAGUUGCGCCCGAAUCCAUCUGGUUGAGGGCACGUCUGCCUGGGUGUCACGUACACGCGCCUCCCGCGAACCUUUCCCCUUUUUCCGGACGAAGGGUCUCGCUGGAGCAGAUGUUGGUAUCCCGUGCCCGUUCCGCGCGGCUUGCCUAAAAACGGAGAUCCGGCGAYGAAACGUCGCGCCUAGUGGUGGUUGAUGAGGCCUARCGGCCGAACCAGUUCGCGGCGCGAUCGUUUGUCGCACGGAAGUCUCGGACGACACCUCGGACGCCCCCUAACGGGCGUGCUACUGUCGCGACCCCAGGUCAGGCGGGACUACCCGCUGAA
RNAcentral lists this unclassified non-coding RNA (681 nucleotides) under Saxifraga charadzeae. Its description in RNAcentral is "sequence contains ITS1, 5.8S rRNA gene, ITS2". The stretch from base 252 to 407 matches the Rfam family "5.8S ribosomal RNA". Lineage: Eukaryota; Viridiplantae; Streptophyta; Magnoliopsida; Saxifragales; Saxifragaceae. The record is from RNAcentral.